AGCUCCAAUAGCGUAUAUUUAAGUUGUUGCAGUUAAAAAGCUCGUAGUUGGAUUUCGGGUGGGUAGCAGCGGUCUCGCAUUGCGUUUGUACUGCUGCAGCCUACCUUGCUGCCGGGGACGCGCUCUGGGACUUCAUUGUCUCGGGCGCGAAGUCGGCGAUGUUACUUUGAGUAAAUUAGAGUGUUCAAAGCAAGCUUACGCUCUGAAUAUAAUAGCAUGGGAUAACACGACAGGACUCUGGCCUAUCGUGUUGGUCUAUAGGACCGGAGUAAUGAUUAAGAGGGACAGUCGGGGGCAUUCGUAUUUCGUUGUCAGAGGUGAAAUUCUUGGAUUUACGGAAGACGAACAUCUGCGAAAGCAUUUGCCAAGGAUGUUUUCA
RNAcentral lists this ribosomal RNA (379 nucleotides) under uncultured eukaryote. RNAcentral's name for it is "SSU rRNA". It matches the Rfam family "Eukaryotic small subunit ribosomal RNA", at positions 587 to 972 of the family's 1831-position model. The record is from RNAcentral.